AUCUGGUUGAUCUGCCAGUAGUCAUACGCUCGUCUCAAAGAUUAAGCCAUGCAUGUGUAAGUAUAAAUAGUUACUUGAACUGCGAAUGGCUCAUAUAUCAGUUAUAGUUAUUGAUGAAGAAUACUAUUGGAUACCGUAGUAAUUCUAGAGCUAAUACAUGUAUAAAGUCUGUAGACUGCAUUUAUUAGAAUGAAAACCAUAGGUUUCGGCCUAUUCGUGAGUAAUAAUAACUAAUCAUAUCGUAUGCUUAUGUAACGAUGUGUCUUUCAAGUUUCUGCCCUAUCAGCUUUCGAUGGUAGUGUAUUGGACUACCAUGGCAGUAACGGGUAACGUAGAAUUUGGGUUCGAUCUCGGAGAGGGAGCCUGAGAGAUGGAUUCCACCUCCAAGGAAGGCAGCAGGCGCGUAAAUUACCCAAUCCUGACACAGGGAGGUAGAGUCAAUAAAUCACAAUGCGGAACAAUGUUAGCAAUAGGAUUGAGAACAACGUACAAACCUUAUCGAUAAACAAUGGAGGGCAAGUCUGGUGCCAGCAGCCGCGGUAUCCAGUCCAUUCG
RNAcentral lists this ribosomal RNA (555 nucleotides) under Blastocystis sp. Its description in RNAcentral is "SSU rRNA". It matches the Rfam family "Eukaryotic small subunit ribosomal RNA", at positions 1 to 597 of the family's 1831-position model. Lineage: Eukaryota; Bigyra; Opalinata; Blastocystidae. The record is from RNAcentral.